Mycena epipterygia is the source of this 85-nucleotide non-coding RNA. The record is from the annotation of a GenBank genome assembly. NCBI's taxonomy places the organism in Eukaryota, Fungi, Basidiomycota, Agaricomycetes, Agaricales, Mycenaceae.
GCUACUGUGGCUCAGAGGCAUGAGCUUCAGAGUUCUGUUAAAUCGUGGUAAGCGGAGGUCUCAGGUUCGAUUCCUUCUAGUGGCA